GUACAAUCCAUUGAGUCAAAACUGGACUGUCUAUUAGAUAUUUAUCAACAAGUUUUGCGAAAAGGAUCUACAUCUGCACUCACUUUGGCUUCCUUUCAAAUGCCAGCUUUUGAGUGUGAGCAGACUUCUGAUUACCAGAGUCCAUCAGACAGCAAAGAUUUGUCUAAUUCUGCACAAAUCAGUGGAUGUGUAUCCAGAUCAGCUAGUGCCAAUCUGCCUCGUGGCCUACAGCUUAUACUGACACCAAAUGAAUUUAGCACUCAGGCUUACUAUGCUUUCAGUCCAGCUAUGCAUAGUCAAGCGACGCAAGUGCCAAACGAUGGACCUGCAACUUUUAAUAAUACAUCAAACCAAAUAAACCAGGCAACCAAGCCAGCAACUCCAACAACAUUACAAAUACCACCUUUCUCAUCAAUGAAGCAUAUCAAUAAGCCUGAGCCCAUUCAUAUUAUUCCUGUAACCACACAGGAAAAUAUUUCUGAUGUCACUGCUUGCCUUGUUGCAUCAAAGGAUAAUGGACAAGUUGCACAGCCCAGUGCGACAAAGGAUCUCACAUGGAGAAAAUGUCUGGAUACAGAGGGGGAACCUUUUCUCUCUGUUAAACCUGUGGUACAAAUGGAUUUAGGAAAAUCUUUAUCUGUACAAAACCUUAUACAAUCAACAGAAGAACUGAAUGUACAGAUUGCUGGCAGUGACUCCAGUGGUUCCAGAGGUAGCCAAGAUAUAUACUCCAAAUGGAGGGAGUCAAAAUUAUUUAUAACUGAUGAAGAGUUGGAGACAGGGGCGGGAACAGAGACUACUGAAGUCAUCUCACGCCCAUUAGUGGAAGCAACUCUCUCUGCUGACUCUCUAAGGACUGGAAUAUCAAGAUCAUCUCAAAGCCUUUGCAAGCCAGAGGACGGUACAGAAGCACUCAAUCUGCUCCACGUCAAACUGAAAUAACAGCUUGUGGGCUUUCUUCAUUGGCUGGGUCAUUCCUCUAGUCAUACAUAUCAUAGCAUGAACUGU
This is an RNA transcript of Pterocles gutturalis (yellow-throated sandgrouse), 1008 nucleotides long. It is a transcript of the gene named potassium voltage-gated channel subfamily KQT member 5 pseudogene, with no coding region annotated. The record is from RefSeq and is a predicted model, not a curated record. NCBI's taxonomy places the organism in Eukaryota, Metazoa, Chordata, Aves, Pterocliformes, Pteroclidae. The transcript has a single exon.